This 468-nucleotide ribosomal RNA is filed under the name uncultured bacterium. Its description in RNAcentral is "partial 16S ribosomal RNA". It matches the Rfam family "Bacterial small subunit ribosomal RNA", at positions 28 to 507 of the family's 1533-position model. The record is from RNAcentral.
GAUGAACGCUGGCGGCGUGCUUAACACAUGCAAGUCGAACGGACAGACCCUGCUCUUGUUGCGUUCUCGUUUGCCGCACGCGUGUGUAACACGUGUGUAUCCCCCCCUUGUCUUUCUGAUAUCUUCAGGAAACUCCGGCUCUUACCGCAUAUGAGCUCCUGCUGCAUGUUGGUGGUUGGAAAGUUUUGGCUGUUCUGGAUGGUCUCGCGGCUUCUCGGCUUGCUUGUCGGGUAGUUGCUUACCAAGGCUUUGACGGGUAGCCGGCCUGAGAGGGUGACCGGCGACAUGGGGACUGAGGUACGGCCCAGAAGGCGACGGGAGGCAGCAGGGGAGAAUAUUGCACAAUGGGCGGAAGCCAGAGGCAGCAACGCCGGGUGCGGGAAGACGGCCUUCGGGGGAUAAACAGAUGUGGAAGGAGACGAAGAGUGAGUGACGGUAAUGGGUAAAGAAGCACCGGCUAACUACGUG